CCCUCUCUCUAGUGACUACAUACUGCUCAGGAGUGAGUUUCUUUUGCCAGUCUGUCGUCUCGUCAUAGCGGGGCGAAUGAAGGCCGGGAUGCUCCGCCGUGACAACAAUGGCAGGCCGGCUCUCGAGUGUUUGUAAAUCAGAAAGAUGCGCGCGACCAGACGAGACAUGCUUGCGGCGUCGGGUGCAACAGAGCCAGCUGCUGAAUGACGCUGAAUGCUGAUUUGAGCAGGAGUAGUAAAUGACUGAUCCCGCACAAUUCGAUGAAGACAGGACAGAUUUGCUCGUCCUCCAUAAACACAAAUAAGAACAUUAAAAUUGUUG
Long non-coding RNA from Nerophis lumbriciformis (worm pipefish), 322 nucleotides. RefSeq lists it as uncharacterized. NCBI's taxonomy places the organism in Eukaryota, Metazoa, Chordata, Actinopteri, Syngnathiformes, Syngnathidae. The record is from RefSeq and is a predicted model, not a curated record.